GGUGAACGCUGGCGGCGUGCCUAAUACAUGCAAGUCGAGCGAACAGACGAGGAGCUUGCUCCUCUGACGUUAGCGGCGGACGGGUGAGUAACACGUGGAUAACCUACCUAUAAGACUGGGAUAACUUCGGGAAACCGGAGCUAAUACCGGAUAACAUGUUGAACCGCAUGGUUCAACAGUGAAAGACGGUCUUGCUGUCACUUAUAGAUGGAUCCGCGCCGCAUUAGCUAGUUGGUAAGGUAACGGCUUACCAAGGCAACGAUGCGUAGCCGACCUGAGAGGGUGAUCGGCCACACUGGAACUGAGACACGGUCCAGACUCCUACGGGAGGCAGCAGUAGGAAAUCUUCCGCAAUGGGCGAAAGCCUGACGGAGCAACGCCGCGUGAGUGAAGAAGGUCUUCGGAUCGUAAAACUCUGUUAUUAGGGAAGAACAAAUGUGUAAGUAACUAUGCACGUCUUGACGGUACCUAAUCAGAAAGCCACGGCUAACUACGUG
Molecule: ribosomal RNA, 497 nt
Filed under: uncultured bacterium
Lineage: Bacteria
Description: partial 16S ribosomal RNA
Rfam family: Bacterial small subunit ribosomal RNA
Source: RNAcentral